Esox lucius (northern pike) is the source of this 1330-nucleotide long non-coding RNA. The record is from Ensembl. NCBI's taxonomy places the organism in Eukaryota, Metazoa, Chordata, Actinopteri, Esociformes, Esocidae.
CACAAAGUCCCAGCAAUCGUCCAAUGCCCUUUCUGCAAGCAGGUUGUCAGGACAAAAACAUAUCGCAAAAUUGGAGGGGCCGCCUGGAUUAUUUGCUUUGUUUCCGGGAUGUUAGGAUGCGUAGCUGGAUGCUGUCUCUUACCCUUCUUUUUGGACAACCUGAAGGACGUCUGCCAUUCCUGCCCUGAAUGUCACAACAAAAUCUAUACUUUAGAACGAAUGUGAGGACUGGAUGGGAUAACUACAGCCCUUACACACUGUAGAACUCCCUGCAGCUUCUUUGGUGUUCUGGAUGGGGACAGUUAAUGGGCUGGUUGGUGUCUGUGACACCAUUUUGGAUCUCUCCAAAAGUGCUGAUAGAAAGAAUCCAAGGAGAGUCCGACCAAAAUGGACUGGAAAGACACUUAUACUGAAUGAAGAUGUCAUUCUUUUUACUUUCCCUGCUUCAUUAUCUUUAUAUCAUAGUGGUUGUAGGAGACACCACUUUGAACUCCCUAGGGAUGGUAUAAAGUCCCAUUCAAAUGUGGAAGGGAAAGCAGGUGAUUUAAUGUCAACCUGAAUAUUAUGAAAAUUAUGAAUAGACGGCACAUGCAAAUGUUUAACUGCAUGCAAUAAGGACAUGUAAAGUUCACUUCCCCAUUUCUUUCCAGGGUCAAAAGACUUAACACAAGUGAAUAAACCUAGCAAACGUGUGAAGAAAAAAUAAUGGACAAUUGUCUGAGGUCAGGCAAGAUUGUAGCUAAGCAUGGACAAGCUCAAGGCUACAAAUCAAUUUCCAGAGACCUCAACGUUCCUUUUUUUACCACGUUAUCUUUUCAAGACGUUUAAGGUCCAAGCCACUGUAGCAAACAUCUUUACAUGUGGACAUAAGAAAACUAGAUUGCAGCAACAGUUUGAACACAAUCAAGUGACACACUGAAUAUAGCCAACAUUCAGACAUAAGGUACAAUAAAUUGAACUGGCACUAUUCAUAUGGGUCUACCAACAGGACAAUGACCCCAAACACACUUAAGAAAAACACACCCAAGAACGGUUCAAGACAAAACUCUGGACUGUUCUGAAGUGGCCGGCAACGAGUCCAGAUCCAAAUCCUUAACAGAACCUGUGGAGAGAUCUGAAAACCGCAAUUUGGAGACACAUUUCAAACUUGGGACAACUGGAGCAGUUCGCACAGUUCUCCACACUGCCAGUGCAUAGGUGCCGGAAGCUCAUCCAUGGCUAUAGGACACACUUGAUGGCAGUUAUUUUGGCCAAUAACUUUUGUCAAGCCUUUGUUUAUUUUCUACUUAAAAAUACAUUAGGUAGUAUUAACAGCUAGAGCAAAUACCUG